AUUUAAUCUCUCUCACAAAAUACGGCUUCUCGAUCUAAUAUCUCUCUACCUCCUCCAAGGAGCAGCGCUUGUAGCUCUCCAUCUCGAUCUCUCAGGCCAUCUAUAUAUUAUCAGCCAGCACUCUGCGUAUUGCUCCUUCAAACUCUGCGUAGCAACUCACCAAUUUUUUUGUUAAAAUAGCUAGUCGGAUUCAAUGAUUGGACAGGGCAUUGGGGUUGCUGGUGGAUUGGAGGCCAUAGCGUAUAUCCAUAAAAGCAAUCAACACUGGUUGGCUGCAUCCCACUAUUAAAAUUGUCAAAAGGAUAAAGGAGGUUAUGGAUUCGAAUCAAGCAUUCUGUAAUGAGUCUUGAAGGCAAUGUUGCCCUUUCAACGA
Alnus glutinosa is the source of this 373-nucleotide long non-coding RNA. RefSeq lists it as uncharacterized. The record is from RefSeq and is a predicted model, not a curated record. The transcript is spliced from 3 exons. NCBI's taxonomy places the organism in Eukaryota, Viridiplantae, Streptophyta, Magnoliopsida, Fagales, Betulaceae.